UAGGGAAUCUUAGGCAAUGGACGAAAGUCUGACCGAGCAACGCCGCGUGAGUGAAGAAGGUUUUCGGAUCGUAAAACUCUGUUGGUAGAGAAGAACGUUGGUGAGAGUGGAAAGCUCAUCAAGUGACGGUAACUACCCAGAAAGGGACGGCUAACUACGUGCCAGCAGCCGCGGUAAUACGUAGGUCCCGAGCGUUGUCCGGAUUUAUUGGGCGUAAAGCGAGCGCAGGUGGUUUAUUAAGUCUGGUGUAAAAGGCAGUGGCUCAACCAUUGUAUGCAUUGGAAACUUGUAGACUUGAGUGCAGGAGAGGAGAGUGGAAUUCCAUGUGUAGCGGUGAAAUGCGUAGAUAUAUGGAGGAACACCGGUGGCGAAAGCGGCUCUCUGGCCUGUAACUGACACUGAGGCUCGAAAGCGUGGGGAGCAAACA
RNAcentral lists this ribosomal RNA (427 nucleotides) under uncultured bacterium. RNAcentral describes it as "partial 16S ribosomal RNA". It matches the Rfam family "Bacterial small subunit ribosomal RNA", at positions 355 to 774 of the family's 1533-position model. The record is from RNAcentral.